Molecule: ribosomal RNA, 399 nt
Filed under: uncultured bacterium
Lineage: Bacteria
Description: partial 16S ribosomal RNA
Rfam family: Bacterial small subunit ribosomal RNA
Source: RNAcentral
UGGGGAAUAUUGCACAAUGGGCGAAAGCCUGAUGCAGCGACGCCGCGUGCGGGAUGAAGGCCUUCGGGUUGUAAACCGCUUUUAAUUGGGAGCAAGCGAGGUGNGNGUGACCUUUUGAGUAAGCACCGGCUAACUACGUGCCAGCAGCCGCGGUAAUACGUAGGGUGCAAGCGUUAUCCGGAAUUAUUGGGCGUAAAGAGCUCGUAGGCGGUUUGUCACGCCUGGUGUGAAAGUCCAUCGCUUAACGGUGGAUCUGCGCCGGGUACGGGCAGGCUAGAGUGCAGUAGGGGAGAUUGGAAUUCCCGGUGUAACGGUGGAAUGUGUAGAUAUCGGGAAGAACACCAAUGGCGAAGGCAGAUCUCUGGGCUGUUACUGACGCUGAGGAGCGAAAGCAUGGGG